Molecule: ribosomal RNA, 411 nt
Filed under: uncultured Gammaproteobacteria bacterium
Lineage: Bacteria; Pseudomonadati; Pseudomonadota; Gammaproteobacteria
Description: bacterial SSU rRNA
Rfam family: Bacterial small subunit ribosomal RNA
Source: RNAcentral
GCCAAAGCUUUCUGCGCAGGAAGAAGCUUGUAGCCUUCAGGGAACGUGAGACAGGUGCUGCAUGGCUGUCGUCAGCCAGAGUAGUGAAAUGUUGGGUUAAGUCCCGCAACGAGCGCAACCCUUAUCCUUAUUUGCCAGCACGUAAUGGUGGGAACUCUAGGGAGACCGCCGGUGAUAAACCGGAGGAAGGUGGGGACGACGUCAAGUCAUCAUGGCCCUUACGAGUAGGGCUACACACGUGCUACAAUGGCGAGUACAGAGGGUUGCAAAGCCGCGAGGGGGAGCUAAUCUCACAAACCUCGUCUUAGUCCGGAUUGGAGUCUGCAACUCGACUCCAUGAAGUCGGAAUCGCUAGUAAUCGUGGAUCAGAAUGCCUCGGGGGAUACCUUCCCGGGUCUUGGACCCACCGAA